This is a long non-coding RNA of Gadus chalcogrammus (walleye pollock), 1111 nucleotides long. RefSeq lists it as uncharacterized. The transcript has 3 exons. The record is from RefSeq and is a predicted model, not a curated record. Lineage: Eukaryota; Metazoa; Chordata; Actinopteri; Gadiformes; Gadidae.
UAUCACUGUUGGGUGCGCUGCCUAUAAAGGUGGGUGGUUGUGCACUGGGAGCACUCUUGCCUGGGAGCUCCUGGCUGCCCCGCCCCCUGUUGUCACCGAAACCUGAUCGCCUCACCUGAUCGCCUUUUAGUUGGAUCGUGCAGCUCGCCGUUGUUUGGCAGUUUAUUGGCCGGGUCUUCCCUCUCCCGUAUCGACCCCAGUUGUAGGGCGUGCGAGUGUUUCCUCCUCUACCUGUUGCAGCGGGGAGCGAUCGGCUGUAGAUCGAGUUGCACUUGUAAUGGUGUUGCUCGCUACAGGUGGUCCCCUUCCUCCCCUUUGAUGUUCAUUCAACUCCUGACGGGUUGACGUGUGUGUGGGCGGUUUCUGCCAGCACGUCCCCCCCCCUCUUCACGCUGCUGUUGGCCGGCUGCCGUUUUGUCCACUGAUUAUAUAGCCAACACAUCGAUCCUACUCUGCAUCUCCUACUGUGCUGUACCUGCCCCGAGUAUGGUGAUUGCUGCCUCACCCUAAGUCUCAUUAUUUUGAUCCAUUCAUUUAACAGACUUCCAACUGAUCUUAUUGAUGAUAUUAUUUGUGUUUUGUGGGUUGCUUUGCAUGUUUGUUUUGGCUUAAUUGCUUUACUUAUCCAUGAUAUUAUUUGUGUUUUGUGGGUUGCUUUGCAUGGUUGUUUUGGUUUAAUUCGUUUUCUUAGUUAUUUUGGUUUGGUUUAAUUGCUUUACUUAUUCAUUUGGAUUUAUCAGUUUGGAUAAAUCUCCUUUACUUUUGAUUUAAAACCCAUUUAGUUAUUUGCUCUUCCCUUUUUGUGUAUUUUGUGUGUGUGUGUGUGUUCGCUUUAGUGUGUUUGUGUGAACAUAUUUUAUUGAGAAGUCAUGCUUAAAGAUUAUAUAUAUUAAUUAAAAGGAAUUGAAUUUGUAUGCUGGACCCAGUCUCAAGCUUUCAUUAGUGAACGAACUUGUGUGCUUUAACUUAGGUUAAUCUAACUCUCCAGGUGAAAUUCCUGGGGUGGCGUUGUUGGCAACUUGUCACUAGUUCUUUAACUGAGCUUCAUUUUAUUGUUUCCCCGACCCCCGAAUGCCACACCAGCAUAACUCCUCUGUAUAAUUUCAAGACA